GACGAACCGUGCGAACGUUGUUCGGAAUUACUGGGCGUAAAGGGUCUGUAGGUGGCCAACUAAGUCAGACGUGAAAUCCCUCAGCUUAACUGGGGAACUGCGUCUGAUACUGGAUGGCUCGAGUGUGGGAGAGGAAUGCGGAAUUCCAGGUGUAGCGGUGAAAUGCGUAGAUAUCUGGAGGAACACCGGUGGCGAAGGCGGCAUUCUGGACCACAACUGACACUGAGAGACGAAAGCCAGGGGAGCAAACGGG
This 253-nucleotide ribosomal RNA is filed under the name uncultured bacterium. Its description in RNAcentral is "partial 16S ribosomal RNA". It matches the Rfam family "Bacterial small subunit ribosomal RNA", at positions 524 to 776 of the family's 1533-position model. The record is from RNAcentral.